Molecule: ribosomal RNA, 497 nt
Filed under: uncultured bacterium
Lineage: Bacteria
Description: partial 16S ribosomal RNA
Rfam family: Bacterial small subunit ribosomal RNA
Source: RNAcentral
GAUGAACGCUGGCGGCGUGCCUAAUACAUGCAAGUCGAGCGAACGGACGAGAAGCUUGCUUCUCUGAUGUUAGCGGCGGACGGGUGAGUAACACGUGGAUAACCUACCUAUAAGACUGGGAUAACUUCGGGAAACCGGAGCUAAUACCGGAUAAUAUUUUGAACCGCAUGGUUCAAAAGUGAAAGACGGUCUUGCUGUCACUUAUAGAUGGAUCCGCGCUGCAUUAGCUAGUUGGUAAGGUAACGGCUUACCAAGGCAACGAUGCAUAGCCGACCUGAGAGGGGGUGCGCGGCCACACGAGAAGAGACACGGGCCAGAGACCUAUGGGGGAGGCAGCAGGAGAGAAUCUCCCGAUGGGGGAGAGAGCGACGGGGAACAACGCCGCGUGAGUGAUGAAGGUCGGGGGCGCGAAACUCUCUUUUUAGGGGAAAAAAUAUGUGUAAGAAAAUCUGUGCACCUUGUCGGGGCCCAAACAGAAAAACCCGCCGCUAUCUGCG